Molecule: long non-coding RNA, 7657 nt
Filed under: Populus trichocarpa (black cottonwood)
Lineage: Eukaryota; Viridiplantae; Streptophyta; Magnoliopsida; Malpighiales; Salicaceae
Description: long non-coding RNA (PTRI_LNC004701)
Source: RNAcentral
CACUUUUCUCCGUUAAAGUUUUGGAAAUAAAGUAAGGACCUAUGGAUAAGUUUGAAGCUCUGAUAUAAUCAACAUUGCUCCAGUAACUUUCAUCCAUCAUUUCCACGCCACUGUCAUUAAAAGCUACCGCUGAUGCACUAGAGGUGUACACAACUCGUUUCACUGUCUUUGAAUUCAAGCAAGCCUUCAAGAUUCCUAAUGUUCCAUCAGCUGCUCCUUGGAUAACUACUUCCUCGGCUUCUCCAUUUCCAAAAUCUUGAGGUACAGGAGUAGCUACAUGAAAGACACCAAUACAUCCUUUAAUAGCCACAUCAAAGCCGUCGGGUUCACUUAAAUCUGCAUAGAAGACUUGUAGUCUCUCUGAUCCUCCUGGUAGACUUGUCAGGAAGCUAACGUCCCUCUUGUGUUCUGGUCACAUAUAUAGCACAAAAUUAAAAAAAAAAAAAAAAAACAUAUUGAAAAUGUUGAUGUUAAAAACAUCUGGUGAAUUAGAACUUUUCAAAAUUCAAUGGAUAGUGGUACAAAUGCCACCCCUAAAUUGUUGCUGCUGCUGUUCUUGUUGUUGUGAUUUCAACUCCUUUAACUGUAGGUGUUAUGAUUUAAACUACUUAUGUUAGAUUUCUUUCAUUUUAAUGGUUUCAUAUUGCAUGAAAAUCUUACCUUUUUUAUAAAUAAAAAAUUCUACUACGGAGUAAAAAAAAAGAAAGAUUAGGGGUUGAUAUAAAUUAUAUGUGUAAUGUGUAUAAGCAGGCAGUAACUACCCCCGCAACCUUUUUAACUUUUCUGUUAAAAAAUAGAAAACUUACCUACAGGGUGAGGUCUGACGGUGGUGUUAACAGAGUAGCCUUGCUCCAGGAGCUUCAUGAUCAACCACGAGGCCAAGUACCCAGUGCCCCCUGUAACACACACUGUUCCUCUUUCUCCUUCCAUUUCUCUCUCCCUCUCUAAGAUGAGUUCGAAUGAAAUUGUGGUGGUGAGUCUUCCUCCCUCUCUGGUUCAUACUCAUGGCAAGAGACGUGUCAACUCCUCUUUCUUAUUUUCAAAAGUGGCUACCUUUUGACAUUCACAGUGAAGCUACCAAACAAAAAGAUUUUUCAAGCAAUCACUUUGAUUUUUCUUUUCUUUUCUUUUCUUUUUCCUUCACUCAGCUGCUGAUAUUGCAUAUGCGGUUCAAUUUAGGGGUGCUGUUUAAAUAGCUUAGACUAAAGAUUCCGAUGAAGAAGCGAUUUCUUUCAUUUAUUUUUUAUUUUUUUAAUGAAAUGUGUGUUCAAAUAAAUUGCCAACACAUUAUUAUGUAAAAAACUAAGAAGCUUGGGAUUUUAUUUUUUUUACUGUAAGAGCUCACAUUGUUUAUAUUUUCAUAUUAUACUAUGCAUGUUCGGUGUCUAAUGACAUGGAUGCAACAAAAACAAAUAAAAAUACAGUGCGAGAACCCUAGUGAGCUAGCCUGACUUGCCAAGCUUAGAAACGCCUGAUUUUUUUUUAUAUUAUUUUUUUUAUAAUUAUUUUUAUAUUAAUGUUUUUUUUAAUGUUUUUUCAAUUUUUUUUAUAUUUAGUUUAAUAUCAUUUUCUCUUUUAUUUUGUUUGGAUAACUAUUUUUAAAUUACGGUUAUUUUUUUGUUAUACAAUUUCAAAGAUUCAUCUAUUAUUAUUUUUUAAUCUCUUGUAUUAACAUAAUUUAUUUUUAAAAAAUAAUCUUUUGUAUUGAUGUACUUUAUUUUUUAAAAAUAAAAUAUUUUUAUUUUCAAAUAAUAUUUAUAAUAUAUGUAGCCUUUCAUGAUAUUUUUUCUUUCUUUAUUAUAUUCAAUCAAUUUAAUAUUUAUAUUUAUUUUUAUUAUCGUUUGAUUGAAUAAAAAAAUAUUUUAAUAAAUAAAUUUAGCAAACACAAUAAGGUAAAUAUCAUAUCUUACGAGAUUAAAUAUCUUGAUCUACAUAUAUCUCUUGAUUUUUCCAGUUUUAUUUUUAGUUAUAGUUUAUGGAUUCUUUUUUAGUUUAUUAAUACAUAGUUUUUGAUUUAUUAUGUAUAUAUAAAUUUUUUAUUUUCACUUCAAAUUUUUUUAAUAUAAAAAUAUGUUGGAAAAGACUGUAUAUAUAUAUUUUUUUUUAUUGAAAAAAAAAGAUCGCUGCAGGUAAAGUGUCUAGUAAAAAGACUGUAUAUAUAAUUUUUUUUUUAUUGAAAAAAAAAGAUCGCUGCAGGUAAAGUGUCUAGUAAAAAGACUGUAUAUAUAAUUUUUUUUUAUUGAAAAAAAAAGAUCGCUGCAGGUAAAGUGUCUAGUAAAAUAAAAACAUUGAACUUUUUAUAGCUAAGAUUAUAUAUUUCGACUGAGAAGGGCUUUCUUUUAAAAAACAAAUUCAUGGAAUGAGUGCUCAGAUUAUUUGUUUGCACAUCCAAUAGCAAACAUUAAAUCUCUUAUAAUUAAUAAACACUAAUGGGUGUGGAAAAACAUUUCUAGACCCACACCCAUAAAUAUUAUGAUAUUAUGGAUUAUAAUAGUAAUUUAUAAUGUUUAGUAUUUUAUUUUAAUUUACCUUUUAAACAUUUAUUAUGAUAUCAAAAAAAUAUCAUAAUAUUGAGUUGAUAUUUAAUUUAAUGAUUGCGGUAACAUUUGUGACAUUGAUUAUUAAAAAACAUAUAAUACCUUAAUGUUUCACCGUGGUUUGUGAGUGAGAAUAUCAUUGAUUCACAUAGUGUUUUUAUUUUUUUAUCCUUCAUUUUUUAUUAUUUAGGUUCUCAAACUUUUUUUUUCAACUUCAUUCUUUUACAUUUCAUUAAUUGAUCAUUGAACUUAAUGAUUUGGUUUUUUUUUUGUAUUUUCAUGAUCUCAAAAACUUAUUGGUAUUGAGUUGGCUCUAAAUUUUGCAAAGUAGAAUUCAGUUUGAUUGUUUGUGAAGAGUUAAAAAUUAAGGGAUCAAAAUUGAAAGUGAGGUGAAAGGACAACUCUUUAUUAAAAAAAUUCAUUUUUGAUCCUUUAUUUUCUUAGUCUAACCAUCAAGUUUUUUUUAUAAUUUUAUCCAUCAACAUUAUAUUGAUUGGUGUUUCAGCUUUUUGCAAAUAAAAAUUUAGUUUUAUUGUUUUUUAAAAAUUAAAAAUGAGGAGAUCAAAACUAAAAGCUUGGUGUAAUGGCAAGCCUUUUAAAAACAACUAGUGUCACUGCUUUGUAUCCUUGAGAUUUUUUCCAAAUCCUAUUUGGCCUUUUUAAUUUGAGAAUUAUACGAUUUAGUCUAAUAUUUUAUUUAUUCAUAUUUUAGUCCUCAAGUUUGAGAGAGAAGAGAUAGAGAGAGUUGUUGAAUUACAACGAAGGAGAGAUAAAGUUGCUGGUUAACCAUAUUUCAACAUAAAAAAAAAUUGAUCUUGGUGCCAACAUUACAUUCAACAAUAAAAGUCUCAUUGAGGUCGUCUUAAACCUUUAACUUGCUUGAAAGGUAGAUCGUGUUAAGAGAAGAAUUUUUUUUUUCUAGUUUGGUUUUGUGUUUUUGAUAUUUUUUAGGGGUUUUAGGAUGAUAAAUUGUUUUUUGAGGUUCUAAAAGUGUUUAUUAAGUAUUUUUAGAUGGAAAUUGAUUGGAAAAUAGAUUUUAGAUCAAAAGGACACCUCCAACUUUUUGAUCACCUAUAUGGUGGUGAAUUAUGGACAAGAGACAACCCUUUGUCUGUUUUUUUUUAAACGGGGCAAGCAAUCUAAUUUGAAAAAAAAAAAAAAAAAAACCCAAACGCACAAGCCUGGACUAGCAGACCAACACCCUUGUGUUUAAUUUUUUAUGGCUAAAGGGUGUUAAGGGUUUGUUUGGGAAGCGUUCCCUCAAAUUUUGAAAUUUUUGUUUUCGCUAAUGUUUUUUAUAUUUUUGAAUUGUUUUGAUAUGCUAGUAUCAAAAAUAAUUUUUUUAAAUAAAAAAAUAUUAUUUUAAUGUAUUUUUAAGUAAAAAACAUUUUGAAUCGCAACCGUUACUACAAUCCUAAACAUAUUUUAAGUCAUCCAGCCUGGUGGGUCUAACAUUUUGUUUUAUUAUAUUUCCAACAAUCGAGGUGUAAUUUAUUCAAAAUUAAAUAAUUUAUAAUAUAUUGGGUAUAUGUGUAUUUUAAUUUUAGAUUAAUUAAAAAUAUAUUUUAAAUAUUAUUUUAUUAGAUUCUUAUUUGACAAAGAAAGAUGGGAUACGUUAUAAACAAUUAAUUAGCCAGUUGAAUAUCUGGGAAUCAAAAACUCGUUAAUUUAAAGAGUCUUUAUUAUUAUUAUUAUUAUUAUUAUUAUUAUUAUUAUUUGAUUUAUUAGAUCAACUACAUUAGUUACAACGCGUUGGCCUUGGAAUUCUGAUGCACCGGAAACCACUGAAAAUAUUCAAUGAAUUUUACAAAACCACAUCAGCAAACUGUCUAGAAGAUAUGAUAGGGCCGGCAGAUGCUAUGGUGAUUCUAUUACACAACAGUUUGUCUUAACCUGAACUAGAGAUAACCCUUUUCUUUGCAGCUUUGAAUUGCCCCAUCAAACAUUUCAUCGAGCCCGCACUUAAAUUUGAAACCCAAAUCCAGUAAUUUCUUUGAUGAGAGGCCAGCGAGUCUGGUGCCUUCGAUUUCCUUCAAAGAUCUGCCAGCAAUUAAGGAGAAGUAAUUAACAUUUAGCUUUUAUUUUCAAGAUUAAGAGAAGAACAAGGGGAAGAUUAAAAAGUACUCACUCCAAUGAUGGUAGGGGGCACUCAGGAUACUUGGACGACAGAAAUUUAGACAUCUUUUCAAUGGUUAUUGUGUGUGAAGAACAAAUGUUUCUCCCUUUCGCAUCAGGAUGUUCGAAGAGGAAAAUGUGUGCCCUGGCCACAUCAUCAACAUGCACCAUAGACAUAUUCAAAAGAGUACCGUAUUUCUGCUGCUCACCUGAAAUGAUAUCCAUUGGAAAAAGUUCCUUCAAGAAAUCAUAGGAUCAUUAAGAAGAACAAACAGAACAGAACUUACCCAGUACCAUAGCCAGCGACGUGUGCACCGAGCCAGGAAACUUGGAACAAAUGAAAGGUCCAUUAAUAAAAGAAGGGAUUAUUGACACAAGAUCAAAUCCAUGUUCAUCAGCAAAUUCGAGAGCUCUCUUCUCCGUUAAUGUCUUGGAAAUAAAGUAAGGGCCCGCGAAGGAUUUUAAGGCCUUAACAUACUCUACAUCAGUCCAAUAACUCUCAUCCAUUGUGUCCACAUCACUGUCAUUAAACACUACUGCUGCGCCACUGGAAGUGUACACUACUCUCUUUACAGUCAUGGAGUUCAAGCAAGCCUUCAAGAUGCCUAAUGUUCCAUCAAUUGCUCUUUGGACGACCACUUCCUCAGGUUCCUUGCUUUCAAAAUCAACAGGGGUAGCUACAUGAAAGACUCCAAUGCAUCCUUUAAUAGCCACCUCAAAGCUGUCGGGGUCACUUAGAUCUGCCUGGAAGAUUUGAAGCUUCUCGGAUGCUUCUGGUAGACUUGUUAGGAAGCUAACAUCUCUCUUGUGUUCUAGUCACGCAUCAAAAUGAUGAAAAGACUGAGAAUUAACUUUUGAUAUUUAUGCAGGUGGGAUUCACAACCUAUGCUGAAUCAAACGAGUUGAAACUUUAAUCAUCUUUGAGAAAAAGAAAAUUGAUGCAAUGUAACCAUCGCAGACUCGCAGUACUUACCCAUCCAAACUAAUUACGUGCCAAAUGAUGUUAUUGAUUAGAUCAAUAACAUCACGCAUAAGAAAUCGUCUUUAUCGAUCAAAUUAGUGUUUCUGUUGGUGAAUCCCACUAGACAUGUCUCAAAUUCUAAGAGUCAUUGGGAUGCAAGUAAGAAAAAGUGGCAGAACAGACAUGUUCUCAAUUUGAUUAUAGGAUCUUAUUAAAGCAGUUGAAUAAUUUUAUUAGCAUGAACUUUAUUAGGAGAUAAUAUACAAAGAAAAGUAGCCAGCUUGAUCUGCUGUGCCAAAAAGCUGUGCAAAAUUAACACUUCGCUCUUUCCCAGUAGAGAAGCCAUAGAGGGCUCGAUCUUUUAUUCUAAAGGAAGAGGGGUGUGUGUGUGUGUGGGGAGGGUGGGGGGGGGGGGUGCAAAGUUUUGUAACGAUGUUAAAAUGAAUUUGUUUAUCUAUAAACGAUGAAUUUAAUGUAUCUGUUCAUGUAAGUAGUUUCUAAAUAUGGUAAUGUCCUGCUCAUUAUCGAAGCUGUGUUGACAAUGAGAAGAGGAACAAAAGCUCACCUGGGUCAGGUCUAAUGGUGGUGUGAACAGAGUAGCCAUGUUCAAGGAGCCUCAUGAUCAACCAAGAUGCUAAGAACCCAGUACCACCAGUUACACACACUUUACCUUUAUCUCCUUCCAUCUCUCUCUCUCUCUCUCUCUCGAAAUGAAGAUGAAUCGCACAAAUGGCAGAGUAUAGAGAGUUAUAUAUAAGUAGCACAUUAAUUAAAAAAAAUAGCACCGUUAAAAAAUUAAUUAAAAACAUAAUAUACUCUAUAAAAUUACAGAUAAUGUAUUGAUUGAGAGUCAGCAUAUAGUAUAUGCGAUUUAUUUACAAAAUAUUAGUUUUUUUAAAAAAUAAUUUUGAAUUUUGAAUUUAAGAAACAAAUAAAUAUUAUUUACUAUCUUUAUAGUGAUAAUGAUAAUUUUUAUUUAUUUUUUUAAUUAUAAAAAUAAUAGACAAUAAUUAUAAGUUUUAAAUUUACAGGUUUUAAUAUUUAAUAUAUCAUUUAUGAUUUUAUAAUUUUUUCAAUUAAGUUUUUAAUUAUAGUAUUUCUUCAAUAUUUUAUUUGUACAGCACUAUUAUUUUUUUUAAAAAAAAUUCACAGAUAAACGUAUGAUUUAUUUGUUUUUACUUUUCAAAAGUGUUUUUUAAAAAAUUAAAAAAUUUUUAUUUUAUUUUAAAUUUUUAUUUUUUUAUGUUUUAAAAUUAUUUUGAUAUGUUGAUAUAAUAUAAAAAAUAAUUUUUAAAAAAUAAAAAAAUAUAUUUUUAAUGUAUUUAUAAAUAAAAAACUGUAACUACACUCUUCAACACUCGUGUUCGAAGAAAGCUAUUUCAACGUUUUGGUAGUGGAUAACUGUCAAAUCUUGUCUUGGUUUUUCUCGGUUCUCCAUCAUCGCAUUAUUAAAAAUAAAAUUUUAGUUUUUAAUUUACCCCCACAGAACAUUUCAGAGUAACCCAGCACCAUCGCCAAUUACGCGUGAACUGAAGCAGGCAUGUUUGGACAAAUGAAGGGGCCAAGAAUAUAGGUUGGUAUGAAAGUUACAAGGUCUAAUCCGUUGAAGUUUUGGAAAUAAAGUGUUGGUUAUGUGGUAGAUGUUGUUUUUUAAAGUUUUUUUUUUUUGAAAAUAUAUUAAAAUAAUAUUUUUUAAUUUUUAAUAUUAAUAUAUCAAAAUGAUAAAAAAACUUAAACAAAUAUUAAUUUAAAUUUUUUUUAAAAAAUUAAAAAUUUAAAAAAGUGUUGAACCGCAAUCCUAAACAGCCUUAAAGUAAAGACCUGUGGAUAAGUUUGAAGCUCUGAUAUAAUCAACAUUGCUCCAGUAACUUCCAUCCAUCAUUUCCACGCCACUGUCAUUAAAAGCUACCGCUGAUGCACUAGAGGUGUACACAACUCGUUUCACUGUCUUUGAAUUCAAGCAAGCCUUCAAGAUUCCUAAUGUUCCAUCAGCUGCUCCUUGGAUAACUACUUCCUCGGCUUCUCCAUUUCCAAAAUCUUGAGG